UAUGACCACAGAUUGAAAAAUAUACCGCAUCCCAUUAGCUCUGCGAAGUCAAGCUUCAAGACGCUCGGUAAGUACCAAAGUCGGGGACGAUUUGGGAACCCCGAAUGUUGUAAAU
Molecule: ribosomal RNA, 115 nt
Organism: Kwoniella botswanensis
Lineage: Eukaryota; Fungi; Basidiomycota; Tremellomycetes; Tremellales; Cryptococcaceae
Source: RefSeq, a predicted model, not a curated record